CCUACGGGAGGCAGCAGUGGGGAAUAUUGGACAAUGGGCGCAAGCCUGAUCCAGCAAUGCCGCGUGUGUGAAGAAGGCCUUCGGGUUGUGAAGCACUUUUAUCAGGAGCGAAAUGCCAUGGGCUAAUACCCCGUGGAGCUGACGGUACCUGAGGAAUAAGCACCGGCUAACUUCGUGCCAGCAGCCGCGGUAAU
RNAcentral lists this ribosomal RNA (194 nucleotides) under uncultured bacterium. RNAcentral describes it as "partial 16S ribosomal RNA". It matches the Rfam family "Bacterial small subunit ribosomal RNA", at positions 338 to 524 of the family's 1533-position model. The record is from RNAcentral.